GACGAACGCUGGCGGCGUGCCUAAUACAUGCAAGUAGAACGCUGAAGGAGGAGCUUGCUUCUCUGGAUGAGUUGCGAACGGGUGAGUAACGCGUAGGUAACCUGCCUGGUAGCGGGGGAUAACUAUUGGAAACGAUAGCUAAUAUCGCAUAAUAGUAGAUGUUGCAUGACAUUUGCUUAAAAGGUGCAAUUGCAUCACUACCAGAUGGACCUGCGUUGUAUUAGCUAGUUGGUGGGGUAACGGCUCACCAACGCGACGAUACAUAGCCGACCUGAGAGGGUGAUCGGCCACACUGGGACUGGGACACGGCCCAGACUCCUACGGGGGGCAGCAGUAGGGAAUCUUCGGCAAUGGACGGAAGGCUGACCGAGCAACGCCGCGGGAGUGGAGAAGGGUUUCGGAUCGUAAAGCUCUGUUGUAAGAGAAGAACGAGUGUGAGAGUGGAAAGUUCACACUGUGACGGUAUCUUACCAGAAAGGGACGGCUAACUACGUG
RNAcentral lists this ribosomal RNA (495 nucleotides) under uncultured bacterium. Its description in RNAcentral is "partial 16S ribosomal RNA". It matches the Rfam family "Bacterial small subunit ribosomal RNA", at positions 28 to 507 of the family's 1533-position model. The record is from RNAcentral.